UAAUACGGGGGGUGCAAGCGUUGUUCGGAUUUACUGGGCGUAAAGGGCGCGUAGGCGGACCAUCAAGUCGGGUGUGAAAACUGGCAGCUUAACUGCCAGCCUGCAUUCGAUACUGGCGGUCUUGAGUACAGUAGAGGAAAGCGGAAUUCCAGGUGUAGCGGUGAAAUGCGUAGAUAUCUGGAAGAACACCAGUAGCGAAGGCGGCUUUCUGGGCUGAUACUGACGCUGAAGCGCGAAGGCUAGGGUAGCAAACAGGAUUAGAUACCCUGGUAGUCCACGCAGUAAACGUUGAACACUAGGUGUAGCGGGUAUUGACCCCUGCUGUGCCGCAGUUAACGCCUUAAGUGUUCCGCCUGGGGAGUACGGCCGCAAGGUUA
RNAcentral lists this ribosomal RNA (377 nucleotides) under uncultured delta proteobacterium. Its description in RNAcentral is "bacterial SSU rRNA". It matches the Rfam family "Bacterial small subunit ribosomal RNA", at positions 521 to 896 of the family's 1533-position model. The record is from RNAcentral. Lineage: Bacteria; Deltaproteobacteria.